Callithrix jacchus (white-tufted-ear marmoset) is the source of this 7354-nucleotide long non-coding RNA. RefSeq lists it as uncharacterized. NCBI's taxonomy places the organism in Eukaryota, Metazoa, Chordata, Mammalia, Primates, Cebidae. The record is from RefSeq and is a predicted model, not a curated record.
GAGAGAGGCGGCGGACAGCCCGGCCCCGGCCAGCAGCAGCAGGGGCAGAAGCCCCGGGAGCGCCUUUCCUUCUGCAGCCCCCAUAGCUCGGGUUCCUGCGGCCGCAACUCGGACCUGGGCAGCCACUGUCAGAGCCCGGAUAGAGUUUCGCUUUUGUUGCCCAUGCUGGAAUGCAAUGACCCAGUCUUGGCUCACCGCAACCUCCGCCUCCCAGGUUCAAGCGAUUCUCCUGCCUCAGCCUCCCAAGUAGCUAGGAUUACAGUCAUGUGCCACAAUGCCCAACCAAUUUUUUUGUAUUUUUAGUAGAGACAGGGUUUCUCCAUUUUGAUCAGGCUGGUCUUAAAUUCCCGACCUCAAGUGAUCUGCCUUCCUCCACCUCCUAAAGUGCUGGGACUACAGGCGUGAGCCACGGCACCUGGGGAUACCAUUUCAUAAACAAAAGAUUGUCUAGUUUCAAAGUCUAAUAACAUCUUGUUUACAUGGAUGUAGUAAAAUACAAACUUAUAUGAGUUGUUAAUGAGAAUAUAGUGCAAUUCAGUAUUGCCUACUAAAGUAGAAUUGCAGACUCUACAAAUCCAGUGAUUUCAUUUUUAGUUUUCUGGAUCUUUUUUCUUUCUUUCUUUUUUUUUUUUUUUUCUUUGAGAUGAAGUCUUGCUCUGUCGCCCAGGCUGGAAUGUAGUGGUGCAAUCUCGGCUUACUGCAACCUCUGCCUCCCAAGUUCAAGCAAUUCUCCUGCCUCAGCCUCCCAAGUUGCUGGGAUUACAGGUGCACACCACCACACCUGGCUAACAUCUUUGUAUUUUUAAUAGAGACAGGGUUUCACCAUGUUGGCCAGGCUGGUAUCGAACUCCUGACCUGAAGUGAUCUGUCUGCCUCAGCUUCCCAAAGUGCUGGGAUUAUAGGUGUGAGCCACUGUGCCCUGCCCAUUUUUAGUUUUCUAUCUAGAUUUUGUUUAAAGAAAAAACUCCAAGACCAUGAACCCUAGAAGACAUGUUCAAAGGUGAUUAUUGCAGCAAUGUUUUAUUAAAUUAAAUGAAUUAAUUUUUUUGAGAGGAAGUCUCACUCUGUUGCCCAGGCUGGAGUGCAGUGGCACGAUCUUGGCUCACUGCAACCUCCCCGUCCCGGGUUCAAGCAAUUCUCUUGCCUCAGCCUCCCAAGUAGCUGGGACUACAGGCCUGCACCACCAUGCCUGGUUAAGUUUUGUAUUUUUUAGUAGAGAUAGGGUUUCACCAUGUUGGCCAAGCUGGUCUCAACUCCUGACUCCAAGUGAUCCACACGCCUCAGCCUCCCAAAGUGUUGGGAUUGCAGUAGAGACACGGUUUCACCACGUUGGUCACGAUGGUCUAGAACUCCUGACCUUAGGUGAUCUGCCCACCUCGGCCUCCCAAAGUGCUGGGAUUACAAGCAUAAGCCACCAUGCCCAGCGUCUCUGAAGUAUUUUCAAAUCAAUCCUUGUCUUGGCUUAAGAGAGAAGAAAGAAAGGAAUGAAGAAGAGAAAAAAGGAAGAGGAGGGAGAGAGAACGGGAGUGUUGCUUAAUUGCCCAGGCUAAAAUUAAGUGUUGCUUAAUUGCAGUCUAAAAAUGGGUAUUGAAAGCCUCCCAUACCAUCAACUGUGCUUAAUAAUGGCCAACCAAUAAUUCAUUUAAACCUGUGAGUAGGUGUGAUGUGGUACUGAUAAGAGUGCAUAUCUUGUGUGUUUAAAGUGGAGAGUUCUAUAAAUGUUUAUUAAGUCGUUCCGGAUCUGAGUUCAAGUCCUGGAUAUCCUUGUUAAUUUUCUGUCUCAUUGAUCUAUCUAAUAUUGAUGUUGAAAUCUCCCACUACUACCGUGUGGGAGUCCAAGUCUCUUUACAAGUCUUAUGUAUCCUGUAUUGGGUGUGUACACAUCCAGGAUCGUCAGCUCUUCUUGUUGCGUUGAUUCUUUUUUUUUGAGACGGAGUUUCGCUCUCCUUACCCAGGCUGAUGUGCAAUGGCGCGACCUCGGCUCACCGCAACCUCCGCCUCCUGGGUUCAGGCAAUUGUCCUGCCUCAGCCUCCUGAGUAGCUGAGAUUACAGGCAUGCGCCACCAUGCCCAGCUAAUUUUUGUAUUUUCAGUGGAGACAGGGUUUCACCUUGUUGACCAGGAUGGUCUUGAUCUCUUGACCUCGUGAUCCACCCGCCUCGGCCUCCCAAAGUGCUGGGAUAACAGGCUUGAGUCACCGCACCUGGCUGCGUUGAUCCUUUUACCAUUACGUCCUCUUUUGAUCUUUGCUGCUUUAAAAUCCAUUCCAUCAGAGGUGAGAAUUGCAACCUCUACUUUUUAUUUAUUUAUUUAUUUUUGCUCUCCAUUUGAUUGACAAAUCUUUCUCCAUCCCUUUGUUUUGACUCUUUAUGUAUCCUUGCAUGUAAGAUGGGUCUGGAUGCGGCAUACCAAUGGGUUUUGGCUGUAUCUUUUGAUUGGAGGAUUUAGUCAAUUUAAAUUUAAGAUUAUUGCCAUUUGAUGUUAGCUGGCUAUUUUGCCCAUUAGUUGAUAUACAUUCUUCAUUAUGUUGAUACUCUUGACUUUUUGGUGUAUUUUUAGAAAGGCUAAUACUGGUUGUUCCUUUCUAUGUGUAAUGCUUCUUUCAGAAGCUCUCGUAAAGCAGGCCUGGUGGUAAUGAAAUCUGAGUACUUGCUUAUUCACAAAAGAUUUUAUUUUUCCUUCUAUUGUAAAGCUUAGUUUGGCUGGAUGUGAAAUUCUGGGUUGACAGUUCUGUUCUUUAAGGAUGUUAAAUAUUGGCCCCCACUCUCUUCUGGCUUGUAAGGUUUCUGCCGAGAGAUCGGCUGUGAGUCUGAUAGGCUUCCCUUUGUGGGUAACCUGACCUUUCUCUCUGGCUGCCCUUAGUAUUUUCUCCUUUAUUUCAACCCUGGUGAAUCUAACGAUUAUGUGCCUUGGGGUUGCUCUUCUUGAGGAAUAUCUUUGUGGUGUUCUCUGUAUUACCUGGGGUUGAAUAUUGUCCUGCCUUGCUAGGUUGGGAAAGUUUUCCUGAAUAAUAUCCUGAAGAGUAUUUUCCAGCUUGGAUUCAUUCUCUCCGUCACAUUCAGGUAUACCUAUCAAACGUAGAUUAAGUCUUUUCACAUAGUCCCAUAUUUCUUGGAGACUUUGCUUUUUCCUUUUUAUCUUUUUUACUCUAUUCUUGUCUUCUCAUUUUAUUUCAUUAAGUUGGUCUUCAACCUCUGAUAUCCUUUCUUCUGCUUGACCAAUUCGGCUGUUAAAACUUGUGCAUACUUCACGAAGUUCUUGUGUUGUAUUUUUCAACUCCGUUAAUUCACUUAUAUUCCUCUCUAUAUCAUCUAUUCUUGUUAGCAUUUCAUCAAACCUUUUUUCAAAGUUCUUAGUUUCUUUGCAUUUGGUUAGAACAAGUUCUUUUAACUCCCAGAAGUUUCUUAUCAUCCACCCUCUGAAGCCUGCCUCUGUUAAUGGAACAGUCUUUCUCCAUCAGACCUUGUUCCGUUGCUGAUGAGGAACUGUAAUCCCCUGUAGAGGGAGAGGCAUUCUGAUUUUGGGUGUUCUCAGCCUUUUUAGGCUGGUUUUUUCCCUUUGUUAUAAAUUUAUCCAUAUGUCGUGUUUGUAAUUACCGCCUUUCUAAUUAGGUUUCUGAGUGGACAUCCAAUUUAUUGAUUCACCAGUGCCGGAAUCUGAGCAACCCACUGUGCCGGCUUAAACAGUGGCGUUAAGAUUGAUGGUGCUUUUCUGACUGCACCAAAAAGUGCCGUGCCAAGGCGCCGGCAAAACCACCGGCAAAACUGCUGCGCUGGCCACAAGAGUUGCGGUGGUGAACUGUGGGGCUCCUCCACUGGGAAUCCUGGUCCGUGAGCAACAAAAUUCGUCUAAAAGUGUGGCAUCCUCUCAUUUUCUGUGCUGUCACUGGGAGCCACAAUCCCGAGCUGCUGACGAUCAGCCAUCUUGGAUCUUUGUUUUUGUUUUUUUCCAUUUGGAGUUUUUAUUACCAUUUAAUGCCUUACGCUUUAUAGGUACAAAAUUCAUUCUGAAACAAUGCUUGUGGAACUUUUAGUUUACAUUUUCAACUCUGAAUAGUUGACAUCUAAAUAGUUCAGCUGUGUUAGUCUUCCCUCAGAAAAGCAUUGCUUAAUGACAGGCCACCCACAGAAUUUUGCAGAAUUGAAAGACAAUCUCCCAAUUGUUUCAGUCUUUGUCAGAUUUUGCUUAUGAAUGCCCUUACUUUGUAGCUAUAAAGGUGUAAGACACGUGUGUGUUUGUGUGCAUCAAGUAUUACUCAAGUGAACAGAAUGUGUUUCUUUAAGUUUGCACGUUUCAAUAUAUAUGGGUUUUCUUAAAAAUACGAAAGGUUAAAAUAUUUGAUCAAUGUAACAGUGUUAAAUACAAAUUUCAUGUUCAACACUAAAAGCCCAAAAAAUUAUCUCCCAUUGUCCACGUUUUAUCUGUUUUUUAAAACCUUAGGGGGAAAUAUGUACUCUUAGGGAAACAAAAUUAAGCUUUAUUGCUAGAGAAAUGAAUGCAAGAAAUAGCACUUUAAGUAGUGAAGAGAUGUGAAGCACUGCAACUUCAUAGCCUGCUGAGGAGCAACAGCUGUACCUAAUUUAAACUUGACGUGCUUCAGAUCUCAUAUUCAUAUAGGUAUUUAAUGAUCCAAAUAUAAUGGUCCUAUAUAGAAUAAUUACUUAUAUGAAGGAGCAAACUUAUUCACAUUCCUUUUUAAAUUAUCCUUCAAGAGAAAAACUGCACUGGAUCUUUGAACAAUGAAUAGUCUCUUUCACCAAUUCAAAUGUUUGGGAUGAAAUAGCUUGUCUUUUAAGAGAGAAUAAUAAUAGUGCUGGGGUUACUUUUUUUUGACAGACUCUUUUUGUCUACCCUCUUCCCAGGACAGCCAGGACAAUGACAAAACGUAGAAUGCCAAGCCAAUCAUUAAGUCAUAAUGGUAGAUUGUAACAAGAAAUAUCAGAAACAAAAGGAAAUAAGGUAUUUUAGAGUUGGUAUAUUUUGAAAACAAAGAUUCAUUGCUUUGAGCUUGACUUUCCUGGACAGGGAGACUAGUAGAAGCAGAGCUCUCAGACUCCUUUUCACCUGAAGGGUACAGUGAUUGCCCAGAGUUUAUUUAUCCUUCAUUUUCAUCCCUUGCUUCUUCCAUGUUCUCAAGAGGUUCACUGAUUAAAAUCAUUGGCCCUAGAGAUUUUUCCACACUACACUCUUCUGAUUGGAAAAUCUGGCCUGUACAUUUUUCUUUUCUACUACCUGAUGUCAGUACUCCUGAACUUUUAUAAACUUCUUCAGGUGCUCUCUGCUUUUAUUUGCAUUUGUAAACAUGUUCAGACCAAAGACUACACUAGGAUUGAAAAAGUUAUCUCUAGAACCUUGACCUUAUAAGAGAAAAGGCUCCAAGUCAUUGUCCUACCAUUUUAUUCAUGUUCAAGAUCUUUCAAAAAAACUCAUAUUUUAAAAAAUCUUUCAAAAGAACAUAAGCAAUUAAUGAAAGAAUGUUACCUGAUAGAACUAUAUUAUCUAUAUGUAGUUUUAAAAUGUUAUCUAAAAUAGCUUAAAGAACAGAAUAUUCUAAGUAAACAUUCUAGUUAAAAUGGAGUUGCAAUGCGUCUAUAUAGACUAAAUUUUCAAAGGAUUAGACCAUGAAUAAAUAACGUUUAUAUUAACCAUGGCCACUUGGUGAGAUCACAUAGAUAAUAAAUCAGCAUUCUGGAUUUAUACACCACUUUUAUACAUUAUAAGCCUGGGCAGGGUUUAAGUUCAUCCCUGAAUGGCUUCAUUUUCUGCAUUAAUGAAAUUUAAGACUAAAUAGCUCAAGUUCAGACACUGAUGAUUUCUUCAAGGUAGAAGUCACUCUGCAAGCUCACCUAUCCUCUGCUGAAGCAUUCACCCUUCUGAGAAUCUCAUCUUCAAAUGGAGAGCAAACAAAACAUUCUCAAGAGAAGAUUUAGAAAAUAAUAAAAGGAAUCAGACAGAAAUAAGAUACUAUGGGAUUAAAGAAAGAAAAGUUCAGAAUACACAUUUAUAAACCACAUACUAUAUCUGUCUGUCUUGCAUGUAAGAAAGACUAGUUAAGAAGAGGGUGAGGCCACAGUAGAAAGACAGAAGUCAGAACACAGAAUGGACUUUCGCCUCUUGGUAUUUGAGUGGGAAAAUCUAGAGGAAGGAUGAAACUUCCAGGCACCAUCACAAUUCACACAAUAAAGCUGUGAAUGCUAGCUGGUAUUCUGAAUAGACAUGCACAGAGACACCCAGUUCAAAAAUGCGAAAAGAAAAUGGAGCAGUGUCAGGUCUAAAAUAUACAAAUUUGCAUCGAACACUUCCUGUGAAGCACCAAAGUUCCUGGGGGUUGACUCUGGCAGCUUUACUAAUCCCCCAAUAGACAAUCUGGGGCAUUUUAGGGAACGUCUCUAAGUCUCAUUCAAACAAAACUGAAGUUGAAUGCAGAAAGUGAACAAACAGACAAAACUAGAAAGGAAUUAAGAACACUGGUUUUAGAAAUUGCUUUCUAAUUUUGAGUCAGAGUGCAGAAAACUGCCCUUUAGUCUAACUUGAGGUAACAUCUACUACAACAUUAUCUAAGAAAUCUGAUGCCAAAGGCAGCACACUAUUUCCAAAUGCAACAACUUGCAUGCAAAGAGGCUAUCCCCGAAAUGGAUGCAGCAUGUCUGUGGAAGGCAGAACAUCACACACCACUCCACACACAAUGGUACCUAUUUGGCAUUAGAAACUUUUUAUUGAGGCAAGGUAAACAGUGGGCUGAAAAUAUUACAUGAUGAAGGAAGGCUGAGGAAACCAGUAUGAAGGCAGCUCAAAUAAUGAACUAAAUACAUUCCAAAGGUACUAUUUAUACUUAAGGCAAUUUUAAAAGUGAGCUCUUAACCAAAAAGGCUUUACAUGGCAUUCAAAAAAAAAGAGGGGGUCAUUUAAAUCUUUUGGAUUGACUAAAAGAGCUAAAUCAUGUACCCAAAAUCUGUACAGCAAGGGCCUGUUUUCAGCAGGUAAGCCUAUGUACAAGUAAGAAUCUCUUACUCUUGUAACACUGUCCUGUUUUGUUUUGUUUUACAAGAACAUAUAAUUCCUAUCCCCACAGAGGUUAGUCCAUAAGGUCUCAGUGACCUCAUAGAAAUAUGGACCUUCCUCUCCUAGAGAACUAUUUACACUGCACUGUAAAUACACACAUGUGUGUCCACACCCACAACUAAGCUGUCAAUGCCUGGAGUGAAGGGGUGAUGGCUCAUCCUUUUGUAUUUACAGUGACAAUAGGCACUCAAUACUUUCUUUUGCAUGAAUGAUAAAUGAAAUGAUUUUAUACUACCACCACUAUUUACAUCAACAUUCCCACCAUUAGCUGUCUCCAAAAUAAAAACACCAAA